This 407-nucleotide ribosomal RNA is filed under the name uncultured bacterium. RNAcentral describes it as "bacterial SSU rRNA". It matches the Rfam family "Bacterial small subunit ribosomal RNA", at positions 368 to 776 of the family's 1533-position model. The record is from RNAcentral.
ACAAUGGGGGAAACCCUGAUGCAGCGACGCCGCGUGAGUGAAGAAGUAUUUCGGUAUGUAAAGCUCUAUCAGCAGGGAAGAAAAAAGAGUUAAAACUCUUGGACGGUACCUGAGUAAGAAGCCCCGGCUAACUACGUGCCAGCAGCCGCGGUAAUACGUAGGGGGCAAGCGUUAUCCGGAUUUACUGGGUGUAAAGGGAGCGUAGACGGUUAUGCAAGUCUGGAGUGAAAGCCCGGGGCUCAACCCCGGGACUGCUUUGGAAACUGUAAAACUGGAGUGCAGGAGAGGCAGGCGGAAUUCCUAGUGUAGCGGUGAAAUGCGUAGAUAUUAGGAGGAACACCAGUGGCGAAGGCGGCCUGCUGGACUGUAACUGACGUUGAGGCUCGAAGGCGUGGGGAGCAAACAGG